Non-coding RNA from Ictidomys tridecemlineatus (thirteen-lined ground squirrel), 331 nucleotides. NCBI's taxonomy places the organism in Eukaryota, Metazoa, Chordata, Mammalia, Rodentia, Sciuridae. The record is from RefSeq and is a predicted model, not a curated record.
CCCAGCCCCCUGCUGACAUUUUGAUCUUGGAUUUCCCAGAAUCCAGAACUGAUUCAGAUGUGGAAACCUAAUCCCCAUGUGAUGAUAUUCGGAAGUGGGGCUUCAGGGUGCAACUAGGCCAUGACUGCAGAACCCCCAUGAAUGGGAUUCAUAUCCUUCCGUAAAAGUCCCUGAGAGGUCGUGUGUCCUACAGCCAUGUGAGGAUACUGUGAGAAGACACAGUCUAGGAACCAGAGUGGCCUUCACCAGACACAGAAACCGCCAGAGUCUUGAUGUUGGUCUUCCCAGCUUCCAGAAUUGUGAGAAGUAAAUUUCUGUGGUUUAUAAGCCA